AUACGGGAGGCAGCAGUGGGGAAUAUUGGACAAUGGGCGCAAGCCUGAUCCAGCCAUGCCGCGUGUGUGAAGAAGGCCUUCGGGUUGUAAAGCACUUUUGUCCGGAAAGAAAAGCUUCGGGUUAAUACCCCGGGGUCCUGACGGUACCGGAAGAAUAAGCACCGGCUAACUUCGUGCCAGCAGCCGCGGUAAUACGAAGGGUGCAAGCGUUACUCGGAAUUACUGGGCGUAAAGCGUGCGUAGGUGGUUUGUUAAGUCUGAUGUGAAAGCCCUGGGCUCAACCUGGGAAUUGCAUUGGAUACUGGCAAGCUAGAGUGCGGUAGAGGAUGGCGGAAUUCCCGGUGUAGCAGUGAAAUGCGUAGAGAUCGGGAGGAACAUCUGUGGCGAAGGCGGCCAUCUGGACCAGCACUGACACUGAGGCACGAAAGCGUGGGGAGCAAACAGGAUUAGAUACCCGUGUAGUCCG
RNAcentral lists this ribosomal RNA (466 nucleotides) under uncultured bacterium. RNAcentral's name for it is "bacterial SSU rRNA". It matches the Rfam family "Bacterial small subunit ribosomal RNA", at positions 339 to 797 of the family's 1533-position model. The record is from RNAcentral.